This 316-nucleotide ribosomal RNA is filed under the name uncultured soil bacterium. Its description in RNAcentral is "bacterial SSU rRNA". It matches the Rfam family "Bacterial small subunit ribosomal RNA", at positions 26 to 346 of the family's 1533-position model. The record is from RNAcentral.
AGGACGAACGCUGGCGGCGUGCUUAACACAUGCAAGUCGAGCGGUAAGGCCUUUCGGGGUACACGAGCGGCGAACGGGUGAGUAACACGUGGGUGAUCUGCCCUGCACUCUGGGAUAAGCCUGGGAAACUGGGUCUAAUACCGGAUAUGACCUGCUCUCGCAUGGGGGUGGGUGGAAAGAUUUAUCGGUGCAGGAUGGGCCCGCGGCCUAUCAGCUUGUUGGUGGGGUAAUGGCCUACCAAGGCGACGACGGGUAGCCGACCUGAGAGGGUGACCGGCCACACUGGGACUGAGACACGGCCCAGACUCCUACGGGA